UACGUAGGCAGCAAGCGUUGUUCGGAAUUACUGGGCGUAAAGAGUGUGUAGGCGGUGCUGCAAGUCUGGUGUGAAAUCUCCCGGCUCAACUGGGAGGGUGCGCCGGAAACUGCAGUGCUAGAGGGUGGGAGAGGUAAGCGGAAUUCCUGGUGUAGCGGUGAAAUGCGUAGAUAUCAGGAGGAACACCUGUGGUGUAGACAGCUUACUGGACCACUUCUGACGCUGAGACACGAAAGCGUGGGUAGCAAACAGG
Molecule: ribosomal RNA, 253 nt
Filed under: uncultured bacterium
Lineage: Bacteria
Description: partial 16S ribosomal RNA
Rfam family: Bacterial small subunit ribosomal RNA
Source: RNAcentral